UAGGAGGACAGACUGGAUACCUCGUGAGG
Molecule: non-coding RNA, 29 nt
Filed under: Mus musculus (house mouse)
Lineage: Eukaryota; Metazoa; Chordata; Mammalia; Rodentia; Muridae
Source: RNAcentral